GACGAACGCUGGCGGCGUGCUUAACACAUGCAAGUCGAACGGUAAGGCCCUUCGGGGUACACGAGUGGCGAACGGGUGAGUAACACGUGGGUGAUCUGCCCUGCACUUCGGGAUAAGCCUGGGAAACUGGGUCUAAUACCGGAUAGGACUCCUGGCUUCAUGGUUGGGGGUGGAAAGCUUUUGCGGUGUGGGAUGGGCCCGCGGCCUAUCAGCCUGUUGGUGGGGUAAUGGCCUACCAAGGCGACGACGGGUAGCCGGCCUGAAGGGGUGACCGGUCAAACUGGGACUGAGAUACGGCCCAGCUUCCUACGGGAGGCAGCAGUGGGGAAUAUUGCACAAUGGGCGAAAGCCUGAUGCAGCGACGCCGCGUGAGGGAUGACGGCCUUCGGGUUGUAAACCUCUUUCAGCUAUGACGAAGCGCAAGUGACGGUAGUAGCAGAAGAAGGACCGGCCAACUACGUGCCAGCCGCCGCAGUAA
Molecule: ribosomal RNA, 478 nt
Filed under: uncultured bacterium
Lineage: Bacteria
Description: partial 16S ribosomal RNA
Rfam family: Bacterial small subunit ribosomal RNA
Source: RNAcentral